This is a long non-coding RNA of Portunus trituberculatus (swimming crab), 345 nucleotides long. RefSeq lists it as uncharacterized. The record is from RefSeq and is a predicted model, not a curated record. The transcript has 3 exons. Lineage: Eukaryota; Metazoa; Arthropoda; Malacostraca; Decapoda; Portunidae.
AAUGGCCUUAGUGUCAAACACCACGGGCUGUCUGAAGGUAGCGGUGUAUGUGUACUACCCGUUCAUAUUUUUGUCACAGGACGACCCGCCUUAUCAAGUCACAGGAUCCAUGACAGAAGUGCUGAACAUCCUCGCACAGACUCUCAACUUCUGCUUCGAGUACGUGGUGCCAGAUGACAGGCAGUUCGGGCGGGAGGAUGCCAAUGGGUCCUGGACGGGGAUGAUCGGCCUUCUGACGCGAAAUGUAAGUCCGGGAUAACACAAACUACUCACAACUGCAUACAUUCUGAAACCAAACGGAUAAACGCAAUUCUUUCUGUAUGUACUCGAGUGAUAUGAAUGUCA